GACGAACGCUGGCGGCGUGCUUAAUACAUGCAAGUCGAACGGACAGGCCCUGCUUUUGUUGCUUUCUCGAUUGGCGAACGCGUGUGUAACACGCGAGUAUCCUGCCCUUGACUUUCUGAUAACUUUAGGAAACUCCGGCUCUUAUCCGAUAUGAUCUCCUGCUGCAUGUUGUUGGUUGGAAAGUUUCGGCUGUUCGGGAUGGUCUCGCGGCUUCUGAGCUUGUUGGUGGGGUAGUGGCUUACCAAGGCUUUGACGGGUAGCCGGCCUGGGAGGGUUAACGGGGACAUUGGGACUGAGAGACGGAGCAGAAUGCAACGGGAGGCAGCAGGGGAGAAUAUGGCACAAUGAGCGGAAGCCUGAGGCAGCAACGCCGGGUGCGGGAUGACGGCCUACGGGUGGUGAACCGCUUUCGACUGUGACGAAGAGUGAGUGACGGUAAUGGGUAAAGAAGCAACGGCUAACUACGUG
This 468-nucleotide ribosomal RNA is filed under the name uncultured bacterium. RNAcentral describes it as "partial 16S ribosomal RNA". It matches the Rfam family "Bacterial small subunit ribosomal RNA", at positions 28 to 507 of the family's 1533-position model. The record is from RNAcentral.